UACACUUAAAAUUUCCCUUUUUAUCACCUUGUGACACAUGUUUUCAGUUCUUGAGGAAAAUGGAAGCAAUGCCUACGAUAUCAGAUAUACUAAAACUACUUCAGAUGAUAGUCAUUUGACACCAUCAUCUUACUUGAGUGCUCAGAUUUGCCGUCUUUUUGGCUUCUUCCUACCUGACUAAGUGUAUAUGGUCAUCGUUCUCGUAGAAACCAAAUUUUCUGUGUGCAUACCGUUAUGAGUCAGGCUGCUGUUAUUCCCUUCUGGAUUUAAAGAAUGUAGACAGAUGAACCCAAGGUCGUGUCUAGCAGUCAAUGAAGUAGGCAAAACCAUGGGAGUCCAAGGAUCAGCCCUAGCAUUGACAAAGAUGCUAGGUGAUUUUCUUCUGUUCGCUUAAACCUUGGUUGACAGAAUUACUAGAUCACUGUUUGGUGGGUGGCAAGUAUUCGGUGGAGAAGUUGAGGUGUGUGCAAACUCAUCCGAGCACUACCAUUGUCACACCAAAAAGACGGACAGGAAGAAGAAUCAGGGAACAUUUGGAGAGCUACUUUGGAAUAGGAUUUGGGUGUAAUGGAUGGAGUCACAGUUUUUGCAUGUUUGCCUGGCCAAGUAAUUAGUUGGUCAAAAUGGAAUAGAGCGUAAUUGAGGGGGGCAAUUUUAUCUCGAAUUCUUAAGGAGGUGAGAAUUGGCGGUAAUUAGACUAAUAUAAUUAUAUUGCAAAUUUAACCUUUAAGUUUUUUAGUUCAUUUUUCCAUGCUAUCCCGUGCUACUUUUUUCCAUGCGGCUUUUUCCUUGACAAAGUCGGAGUAUAUGUUCUAGAAAAAAAUACUUUCACAUCUCAUGUCUAUCUUUUAAGAAAUUUUUAAUUUUCAAACAAAACAAUUAUAAAUUUAUUGAUGAAGAACAAUAUAAAUUUAGAUUACAUUCACAUGUUUUGGCUAAAGAAUCUGAAUUUGCAAUUGGAUCUUUUCUAAAAUUAUUUGUGGUGCACACAAUGUUGUGGCUUAGUGGUGAAUGAAGUAGGUAAAAACUUUAGAAACUAAGGCUUAAGUUUCAGCAGAGACAAAUCGCUAAGAGAUUUCCUUCCCAUCAACAAAAGCCUUGGUGGGUAGAGUUACCCCUUAUUUUUUCCGAUUAGAGCUACCAAAUACCUAGACAAGUAGUCGAGGUGCUCACAAGCUUGCCUAGACAUCACAUUAUUCAAAAAAGUUCUUGUGAGAAACCUAAUAAUAAUUUAAAACACUUAUACAAAAAUAUGUAUUUUAAAAUAUAUGGUACCUCCUCAAUUUCAAUUUCUUUGUCUAUAUGGUACCUCCUCAAUUUCAAUUUCUUUGUCUUACUUUCCUUUUUAGUCCAUUUAAAAAAAGAAUACCGCUUUCCAUUUUUGGCAACUUUUUAAUUAUAACUUCCAUGUGGCAUUUUAAAACCACAAGAUUAAAGAACAUUUUGUACAUUCUACAUAUCUUUAAUUUAAGACCCUAAGUUUCGAAAGUCUUCGUUACUUUCUUAAAUUUCGUGUUAAGUCAUAACCGGACAAACAAAUUGAAACAGAGGGAGUAAAAAAUUAUUUUUAAUUAUGCUUAGAUGCACAUAUAUUAAUAUUAAUGAGAGACUAAAGCUUAUUUACUGCUCAUUUUUAAAUUUAAAAAUAUAUGGCUUUGUAAUUACCACUUGUGAUACACCAACAUGAUGUUGAAUUACUAAGUAAUUACAACAUGACAAACAAACCAAUUAUUAAGCCAUGCAAUUACUAGACUGCUUAAAUACCACCCUUAUGAGUUGCGCAACCUAGCAAUUUUAUAGGCUUUUCAAAUGCAUAUUUGGGGUGAUGUAAUUCUUAAAUCCUAAGACCUCAAUCAAUUGAUCCUAAACAAGCACCAAAUCAAGGAUAGAUAGCUAGAGACUACUAAAGAAAACUGCAAGCAACCAAAGAGUGUUAAACCCUAAGACCUCAAACGGUUAAUUCGAAACAAUCACCUAACUCUUACGAAGAUCAACAAGGGAAAUUGAUUCACCUUGCAACCCCUAUUUCUAAAUAAGUUUCAGAAAAGCUUCACCAAGCUCUCAACUUUCAACGAUGAGAAUAAUUCAACAUUCAUAAAAAUCCUAAUCUAAGUUUAAAGGAGCUAUUCUCCAUUAUCUAUAGCCUAAUAUCAACUAUUACAAAAGUAUCAUUAAUGAAUUAAGGGUCUUUUUGGCCAAGAGGCUUGCAUGUCAAGAAUAACCACUUUUGCAUUCAUCGCCUCUUCCUCCUUAAUUCGAGUGGUCUUUCACAUGGAGCCUUGUACUUCCAUUUUAGUACAUUCCUAAGCUUCAAGACUUCGUUCCAAGCUCCUUUCGAGCCUCCAAAGUAUUGACUUGAUCCAAAACUCUUGAACUCCCUAUCUUGGAUUGGCGUGCAUGCAUCAUGGGGUCUCUAAUUCAAGGAAAUAGGGAGAUCAACGGUGAUGUCACACAUCGUAUAGGUGUGGGAUGGGUGAAAUGGAGGUUCACCUCUGGACUCUUGUGUGCUAAGAAGUUACAACCACAACUUAAAAGAUGGGUUUCUAGAGUGGUGGCUAGGCCAACUAUGUUGUAUGGGGUAGAGUGUUGGUCAGUUAAGAACUCUCAUAUUUGAAAGAUGCAAGUCGCGGAGAUGAGGAUGUUGAAGUGGAUGUGUGGGCAUACUAGGAGAUACAAUAUUAAGAAUGAGGAUAUACAUUAGGAAUGAGGAUAUACAUGAAACGGUAGCGGUGGCCCUCUUGCUGGUCAAGAUGAGAGAAGCGAGGGUGAGAUGGUUUGGGGAGAUGCCCAAGCGAGAAAGUGUGAGCAGUUGGCAGUAGCGGGUGUCGGGAGAUGUAAAGGCGAGGUAGAGGCAACUGAAGAAGUAUUGGGAGAAAUGAUUAGAUAGGAUAUGUCACAUCUUGAUCUUACUGAGGACAUGACAUUAGAUAGGAGAAGUUGGAGGUCACGGAUUAGGGUAGAAGGAUAACGGGUAGUCUCCUGUUUGUUGUGUAAUACUGUUGUUCUACAGAACACAGAGAAGAAGAAAACGUUUGAGGAUAAAAAAAUAUUCUGCUUGUUUAUUCAAUCACGUUUGAGAAUAUAAAUAGACAAAAGAAUCCUAUUCUAUUUCUAACUAGGAAACUAAUAAAAUCCUAUUCUACCUUCAACUAGGAUACUAAUAAAUCCUAUUCUGUAUCAACUUAAAUAAUUGAAUUUUUAAAAAUAAAAUUACUUGACUAAAAAGAAAAAUAACAGCAAAUAACUCAAUACUUCAACACUCCUCCUUGAGAUGUUUGCUGGUAACUCCAAGUUCUCGAAGAGUUUCUUUGGGAAGAGCUUUGGCAAAUAUAUCAGCGAGCUUCAAUCCCUUCCUGUUCUUAGCAAUUUCAUUAAACAUCUCAAAACAUUUUUUCACAAGGUUAUUUCUAAUCACCUUAAGAAUCUUGUUCUGUUGUAGCAUCUCACGAGAGAUGUUGAGAGACAAAUAAUCAGAGUCCACAACACUCUUCACAAAUUCAAGGUACUUGGGCAUAAACUCCUCACAGUUAUCCAUAAUGAACAUCUCCCAAGCUCCUAUUUUCUCUUUGCAGUCUUUGCAUUUGCACCGUUCCCCAACCAUAGGACACAUCCCACAAUGAUCACAACCUACUCCAAUAUUAACUUGCGGUCCUCCACCCGUUAACCAUGCGGAAAGAUCAAAUCUAGGUAGUGAUUUGCAGCCAACAGCUUCGUCCUGAUUUUGAUUUUGUGUUGACGCUGAUGCCUUUUCCCUUGAUGCAUACAACUUGGGAAACUGCUCUUCCAGGUAUUGUGCAAGAAUCAAACAAAUGUUGGGGUAUCCAUUUGGAUUCUCCAGUUUGCCAACUGGACAUCUACAUAGCUUGUUGCUAGGAUUGAACACACAAUUUUCACAAUAAACAUGGCCACAAUUAAGAACUACGGGUCGGCAUAACAACUGCUUGAAGAUACCAUAAAGCAAAUAUCUCAUAAACACCUUCUUUUCACUUACACUGGUAUUUUCAUCUGCGAAGUUAAGAUCUUUUGACGUUGCAUCCUUACUGGUUUCAGAACUCGAUGUUGCAGGAUCUAAAGAAACAUCUCCUGAGGAAGGUUCCUUCCUCUGCUGAACCACAUUUCUGCGAAGGACCAGAAUGAGGUGAAGCAUUGUCUGGAACACUAUCAUUCUUGCAACGGGAUUCUGAUAAAUAGUCAU
Molecule: long non-coding RNA, 4195 nt
Organism: Capsicum annuum
Lineage: Eukaryota; Viridiplantae; Streptophyta; Magnoliopsida; Solanales; Solanaceae
Exons: 2
Source: RefSeq, a predicted model, not a curated record